This 22-nucleotide microRNA is filed under the name Strongylocentrotus purpuratus (purple sea urchin). RNAcentral describes it as "Spu-Mir-92-o17_5p* (star (passenger))". Lineage: Eukaryota; Metazoa; Echinodermata; Echinoidea; Camarodonta; Strongylocentrotidae. The record is from RNAcentral.
UGGUCAGGAUGCUUGCAGUGCU